Exophiala sp. CCFEE 6388 is the source of this 88-nucleotide non-coding RNA. The record is from the annotation of a GenBank genome assembly. NCBI's taxonomy places the organism in Eukaryota, Fungi, Ascomycota, Eurotiomycetes, Chaetothyriales, Herpotrichiellaceae.
GCUUUAACUCAGUUGGUAGAGUGCGACACUAGUAUCGUCUACGCAUAUUGAUAUGUCGAAGUCACUGGUUCAAAUCCAGUAGGGAGCA